Molecule: ribosomal RNA, 430 nt
Filed under: Pseudomonadota bacterium
Lineage: Bacteria; Pseudomonadati; Pseudomonadota
Description: Proteobacteria bacterium partial 16S ribosomal RNA
Rfam family: Bacterial small subunit ribosomal RNA
Source: RNAcentral
UGGGGAAUAUUGGACAAUGGGGGGAACCCUGAUCCAGCCAUGCCGCGUGUGUGAAGAAGGCCUUAUGGUUGUAAAGCACUUUAAGCGAGGAGGAGGGUACUGGUAUUAAUACUACCAGGUACUGGACGUUACUCGCAGAAUAAGCACCGGCUAACUCUGUGCCAGCAGCCGCGGUAAUACAGAGGGUGCGAGCGUUAAUCGGAUUUACUGGGCGUAAAGCGUGCGUAGGCGGCUUUUUAAGUCGGAUGUGAAAUCCCCGAGCUUAACUUGGGAAUUGCAUUCGAUACUGGUUAGCUAGAGUGUGGGAGAGGAUGGUAGAAUUCCAGGUGUAGCGGAGAAAUGCGUAGAGAUCUGGAGGAAUACCGAUGGCGAAGGCAGCCAUCUGGCCUAACACUGACGCUGAGGUGCGAAAGCAUGGGGAGCAAACAGG